UACGUAGGGUGCAAGCGUUAAUCGGAUUUACUGGGCGUAAAGGGCGCGUAGGCGGUCAGCACAAGUCAGUUGUGAAAUCUCCGGGCUUAACUCGGAAAGGUCAACUGAUACUGUGCGACUAGAGUGCAGAAGGGGCAACUGGAAUUCUCGGUGUAGCGGUGAAAUGCGUAGAUAUCGGGAGGAACACCUGUGGCGAAAGCGGCUCACUGGACCACAACUGACGCUGAUGCACGAAAGCUAGGGGAGCAAACAGG
RNAcentral lists this ribosomal RNA (254 nucleotides) under uncultured bacterium. RNAcentral describes it as "partial 16S ribosomal RNA". It matches the Rfam family "Bacterial small subunit ribosomal RNA", at positions 524 to 776 of the family's 1533-position model. The record is from RNAcentral.